UUUUUUUUUCUUUGUAAUAACCAAAUUCAAAUCAAGGUCGGUAUUAAAUCGUAUAACUGAAAGAAAAAACUGAAACCCAGGCAUCCAGUACGAGGCUCCCUCAUGCGUGUCACCCAACACAAAAGGCUUAAUCGUGCGUGCGUGUCCGACCAUGCAGGAUAGGAAGGGCCAAGUGCAUGCUUUGUUCACCAUGUGAGAGCUAAACCAGCAUAAGCUAUUGCGAGGUUUCGUUGUCCACCUAGUUGCAAGGCCCAAGGGCAACUACUAGUACUUCUAUGGGCAGGCAGAGCAUGCAGCGGCAAAUGUCCUAUUUGUUUAGUACCACAUCGCGUAGGUAUCCUCAGAGGAUAAAGGUGGUCAUGGAUAUUAGAGAACGGCACGAGGGAAACGCUAGUAGUUGUGUCAUAGCUUGUACGUGUGCUCUACAAAAAGAUUUUCAUUAUAAACCGAAAACCAAACGAAAUCAGUUGGUUAAAGAAAUAUCGAUUUGUUGUAUUGGGUUGACAUUUUCGUGUUUUAGGUUUGCUAACCAAAAUAAAAAACAAAUGGUAAAAAUUUCAAUUUCAAUUUCUACCACACUACCACCCUGAUGGGUGAUCUCAUCACUUCGGUCAGGCACCUAUUGGGUCGGCCCAAGCGUUCGUAGAUUUGAAAUAAGUUCAUCGAUGCUGAAAAAAUAUUCAUGUUGAAAGUUUUCCAAAAAUGUCCACCAAAAAAGUUGAAAAAUAAGCUCGAGAAAUUGAAAAGGAUUGAAAAUUAGGUUCACACAUUUGAAAUAACAGGAAAAAAUAAAAGGGAAACAAAGGAAUAAACUAAAAAAGGAAACAAACCAGAAUAAAGCCCGGUUUUAAAAAACAUGAAAAACGGCCUAAAACUUCACAAAGUUACAUUUGCCACAGAAUAAGCCAGAAAGAAAGCAAGUGUUCAAGUUGUGUUUUGUUCAGAAUGUUACUUCUUAAGUUAGCACGCUCCUCAUAUCUCCUUAAAAUUAUUGAAAAUGUUGUUCAAAAGAAUAUUCUUAACAUUUUGAACUGACAUAUCUCUUUAUUUUUUUGGAAUGUUCAUGCUUUUCAAAAAUGUUGCUCAAAUUUUUCAAAAUAUGUCAUGCUUCUAAAACAAUGAAAAUUUUGAAAACUGUUGGAUUUUAAAACAUUAUUUGAUUCGUAAAAAUUUAUUCAGAUUUUCGAACAAAUGUUUGAAUUUUUUGAAAAGGUACCCGAAUUCUUCAUUAGUGUUAGUUCUUGUGUAUGCACGCUCCUUGUUUUGCACAAACAUUAAUCAGCUUAACUGGUAUGCCACUCACGGUUGUUGCAUGUUGCAAGAGAUAUGUGGUUAGAUUCCUAGCUGGUUCAUUUCUUUUGUGAUUUUUUAUACGAACAGGCGCGCUCCCUGCUGUUAGUGUUUAAACUUUCACGGUCAUUAGUUAAUACAGUCAUCAGCUGGGUAAACUGGUGAGCCACUCACGCUUCCAGCAAGAGGUCUGCGGCUCGAAUCCUGGUAGCUACAAUUGUUUUGGGUUUCUUUCAAUUUUUACUUCCAGUGAAGGGGUGCGCUUACUAUAGCCAUCAUCGUUGGCCCCGGCCCAGCCCGACGGGGGUUGGGUGUCGUAUACAUGCUGGCGGAUAAAAAAAGACCAUCAUCAACUGAAAAAGACUAUCAUGCCCUUUAUUAUGAAGGGGUAUAAACAGAUCUCCACCGUCGAUGUGUUUAGGGGGAUAGUACCGAAGAAGAAGUGGUCAUAUAAAUCCUGAAAACAUUUACUAUUGCUGUAAGAUCUUCCGAGGGUUGCCAUCAAUCAAUAGCUCACAACGCCCACUUCAGUAGCCAAUAAAUCCAUACUACAUCAAGCUUCUACACAAAACAAACAAUUAGAUUAGACAUCCACAAAACAUAGAAUGAAACACAAUGUUUCUGUAUCAAAAGUCAACAGUAAGUGAGGCGAUGUUGCCAAAUACCAUAUAUCCGAAGUAACUGAAACUGUGAAAAAAAGAAAUAUAUUCAGAUAACUCUAAUCCAUACAUAAAUUAUCAAUUAAUGCAACACGAGUUCCAAAUCCAAUACUUGGAUCAUCAGUAAUAAUGAAAGUCAGUACAAACAUAUAUGCAUAACAUCCUAGUGUAUGCAACACCUGAAUUAUCAUUGUAAUUUGUAAAAAAUAUUUGUCAAAGAGAAGAACAUAACUGAAUCUGAAUGAGAACAAUCACUGACCUGCAGCAGAUGAGCAUGAUUCUUCAUUGCAGAUGAAUAUUCUGAGGCAUGAAAAAUCAAAAUUACAUGAUUUUCUCCUGCAUAUGAACAUCAGCAACAACGAUUUUGUCCUCAUUGCAACCUCCUCACUCUCUUUCCACGGUGGGACAGGAGAGCACAAGAAAGCAGGAGUGCAGGAAGAGCGGGUGGGAGGCAGGAAGAGGACGUGUGGUGACAGCGAGAAACACAAAAGACACGCGCGCGGGUCGUCUCGUCGAUCAUUGGAACAGGCACCGAGAGAGACUCCCAUCCAUUGACCACACAAGCGGCGGUCCCAGAUCGGCGGCAGGGCAUGGACAUAAUGGCGGCAUCCACCCGGAAGCCGGUACCCCCUCUCGAACGACCACCGUAGCCCUCAUCGCCUCCCCCAAAUCCGUCCUCUUUCUUUCCCUCCUGCAUUCAACCUUGUGUAGGUUGCAUCUUGGCAUGAUAUUCAUUUCAUUUCUUGUGAUACUUGUUUUCUUUCUCAAAGCAUCCCAACGAUGAUCUCUUGUUGCUAGUUGUGAUGCCUUUGAUGGAUGUGUGUUUGGACUUUAUUUAUAAACAAUAAGACCAUAUCUAGCCAAGUGCUAUGCUUUCAAGCAAAUAUCUUAUUGGUAUAUUUAUGACUUCCUUGUGGAUAUCUUGUUCUUUCGUGUUGUAACUAUUUCGGGUGUACAUCCUUCUUUGUAUGUAUAUAUAUAUAUAUAUAUAUAUAUAUAUAUAUAUAUAUAUAUAUAUAUCAUGAUUUCGUCUACAUAGAACCUUAUACACUUGAGAGAAAUUACAUCUCUAGUUGAUAUUCUUUCUUUCACGUCCACCUUGUCUUUCUUAUGUUAUUUCUUUGGUGGCUCCGUGAAAGCUUUUGCCUUGAGUGCGUGUCCUCUAUCGUUGCAUCUUGUUGCACUCUUGUGUGGUGAAGAUUAUUUUCCUCUUGCUUAUCUUUACGAGGUUUUUGCCAUCUUAAUUGGUAUCCCUCGUCUUGAUGAGCCUCCCCUCGUCUACCUUCACCACGGGUUGUCACAAGCAUAGGUUCUCUUUUGCUUAUUAGUAAGCUUGUGAACCCAUUUGACAGUUGUGUGUGGGAAUGAUAGGCCUUGCACCAUGUGCCUCAUUCUUUCAAGAUUAUGUUGAUGCUUAAUGCUCAUCCUAAUUUUAGUCUUCUCAAGUGCUUCACCAUGACUCACACAUCAUUUUGGUUGAGCCUAUUCUUAAGUUGCCUCUUUUACAUGUUGCUCAACCAUGUGCUUGUUGCAAGCGCUAGGCUUUGUUUCCUAUAUGCUCACUUGCACUGGAUGUGAGUUUCUAUUGAUUUUGGGGGAGCUAUGAUCCUAUUUUGUGCACUUUGUAUUCAAAUACAAAAAUUCUUAUGUGUGCACAAAUCAUGGGGAGCUUCUCUAGUUUCUUUAGAACACUCAUUUGCGCUUUUCAUAAUAUCUUUAUUCUUGUGGCAUGUAGGAUCAUUGGUCUAGUUGGUUCAAUUGAUAUCCGUUGAUUGCUUGCUUCAAUUGGUAUCUUCUGAUUGCUUGUGUCUCUCUUUAUUAUGUCUUUGUGACAUAUCUUUCUGUUGCAAUCUUUGGGCAUCAAUAUAGUUUGUCUUCCUCCAAGUAUUGGCAGUUGGAUAUGUGUAUUGCAUUCCACUCUCUUGUUGAGAAAUACACAAUUUAUGGAGGACCACAAUUUAUAUUGGCCUUCUAACCUUUUCGCCCAUUUUGGCAAUCGAUGCCAAUGGGGGAGAAGUUUCAGAGAGUUUUGUGGAGUAGCUUUGGUUUUUAUUUCCUUAGCAUUUGCAUCUCAUUCGCAUGCAUUAUUGGUUGGUGCAUUGCAUGGUGAUGCAUAAUUCCUUGUAUAAACUCUCUUGAAAGUAUUUGUCAUCAAUUACCAAAAUGGGGGAGAUUGAAAGGACAUGCGGUGCCCCCAUGUGUGGUUUUGGCAAUUGAUGACAAUCUCUAUGGACUAAUGGUUGCCUUGAGUUAUAUUUGAAGGGUUUGCCCAUAGGCUUUUCUUGGAGUCCAUUUGUUGGUUUCAAUGAGAGUUUGUGAUGACCAAGGCGCUAUUAAGGAAUUAUCCAAAGAUUGGUCAUAUAAGUGUUGAGCUUAUUGCAAGCAUGUCUUGAAGAAGAAGGUUGUGUGAUCAUUCAUGUUUACCUUCAAGACAUCAUCCAAAUGAAGAGAGUUGCAAAGGUUCAAGGUUGAUCAAGACUAAGUCAAGAGUGAAUCAAGUUGAUCAACUCACAAAGCGUAGAAGAUGUACCGAGAGGGAUCAAGUGAUCCCAUCGUAUGGUAAGCAUGUCCAUUGCACUUUUUGUACUAACCCAUGGUCUAUGUGAGAGUUGUAUGUGGGGUUAGGUACGUAUCCAUGGGCUUGUGUCAAGAGGAAGAUAUCAUACAACCCAUGGAAAGGAUGACAUCAAGUGGUGAUCGUCAUCAAGAUUGCCGUGUGCAAGUUCAAGUGGAGCAUCACGAAGAGAUCAAGUGCUUGAAUCUUGCCAUCCAUUAUGGUGUCAAUGGACUUGUGAAGAUGUGCCAAAGAGUGGCUCACCCAUAGUGAACUAUGGGGGAGCAAUCAUCUAGUCUUCAUCGAGCCAACGCAAUCAAGAAAGGUGGUCCAACUUGAGGGAGUCAAGAUCGUAUUCAUCUAGCUCAAGUGGACCAUGUGCGAGGCAAAGGUUUGCCCUUGAUAGGUUUUCUAUUUUACCGGUCUCGUGGUGGUAGUUGGGAGACCGAGUUAUAGGAUCGUUUGCCGUACUAUCAAGGGGGGCUCUCAAGUUGGUAGCUUGAUCGUAUCGUUAGUAGAGAGCUCAAACCAUUGCAUCCUUGCAUCAUGUUUCUUGGUUCUUGUUUGGUUAUCUUUGUGAGUCUUAGAGAUUAUGGUCAUCUUGAUGACAAGCUUGAGUUCAUCGAAAACGGAGUUCGCAUGCGUCUUCUAUGAUGUUUUCGGUGUUGGAGGUUUUACCGGUCUUAUCCGAUGAAGGGUUAUCACCAUUUUCUUAUGCGAUAGAAAACAAAUGGAUCUUUAAGAAGAAGACGGACGCGGAUGGUAAUAUUACCGUCUAUAAAGCUCGACUUGUCGCUCAGGGUUAUCGACAAGUUCAAGGGGUUGACUACGAUGAGACAUUCUCUCCCGUAGCGAAGCUGAAGUCCGUCCGAAUCAUGUUAGCAAUUGCCGCAUACUAUGAUUAUGAGAUAUGGCAUAUGGACGUCAAAACAGCAUUCCUUAACGGGCAUCUUAAGGAAGAACUGUAUAUGAUGCAGCCAGAGGGUUUUGUCGAUCCUAAGAAUACUAACAAAGUAUGCAAGCUCCAGCGAUCCAUUUAUGGGCUGGUGCAAGCAUCUCGGAGUUGGAACAUUCGCUUUGAUGAGAUGAUCAAAGCAUUUGGGUUUAUGCAGACUUAUGGAGAAGCCUGCGUUUACAAGAAAGUGAGUGGGAGCUCUGUAGCAUUUCUCAUAUUAUAUGUAGAUGACAUAGUUUUGAUGGGAAAUGAUAUAGAACUUUUGGACAGCAUUAAGGCCUACUUGAAUAAGUGUUUUUCAAUGAAGGACCUUGGAGAAGCUGCUUACAUAUUAGGCAUCAAGAUCUAUAGGGAUAGAUCAAGACGCCUCAUAGGUCUUUCACAAAGCACAUACCUUGAUAAGAUUUUGAAGAAGUUCAAAAUGGAUCAGUCCAAGAAGGGGUUCUUGCCUGUAUUGCAAGGUGUGAGAUUGAGCUCAGCUCAAUGCCCGACCACGGCAAAAGAUAAAGAAGAGAUGAGUGUCAUCCCCUAUGCUUCAGCCAUAGGAUCUAUUAUGUAUGCCAUGUUGUGUACCAGACCUGAUGUAAACCUUGCCGUAAGUUUGGUAGGAAGGUACCAAAGUAAUCCCGGCAAGGAACACUAGACAGCGGUCAAGAAUAUCCUGAAGUACCUCAAAAGGAGAAAGGACAUGUUUCUCAUUUAUGGAGGUGACGAAGAGCUCGCCGUAAAGGGUUACGUCGACGCUAGCUUCGACACAGAUCUAGAUGACUCUAAGUCACAAACCGGAUACAUGUAUAUGUUGAAUGGUGGAGCAGUAAGCUGGUGCAGCUGCAAGCAGAGCGUUGUGGCGGGAUCUACAUGUGGAGCGGAGUACAUGGCAGACUCGGAGGCAGCGCAUGAAGCAAUAUGGGUGAAGGAGUUCAUCACCGACCUAGGAGUCAUACCCAAUGCGUCGGGGCCGAUCAAACUCUUCUGUGACAACACUGGAGCUAUUGCCCUUGCCAAGGAGCCCAGGUUUCACAAGAAGACCAGGCACAUCAAGCGUCGUUUCAACUCCAUCCGUGAAAAUGUUCAAGAUGGAGACAUAGAUAUUUGCAAAGUACAUACGGAUCUGAAUGUCGCAGAUCCGUUGACUAAACCUCUCGAGCAAAACAUGAUCAACACCAGAACUCUAUGGGUGUUCGAUUCAUCACAAUGUAACUAGAUUAUUGACUCUAGUGCAAGUGGGAGACUGUUGGAAAUAUGCCCUAGAGGAUAUAAUAAAAGGAUUAUUAUUAUAUUUCCUUGUUUAUGAUAAUUGUCUUUAUUCAUGCUAUAAUUGUAUUAUCCGGAAAUCGUAAUACACGUGUGAAUACAUAGACCAUAAUAUGUCCCUAGUAAGCCUCUAGUUGACUAGCUCGUUGAUCAACAGAUAGUCAUGGUUUCCUGACUAUGGACAUUAGAUGUCGUUGAUAGCGGGAUCACAUCAUUAGGAGAAUGAUGUGAUGGACAAGAUCCAAUCCUAAGCAUAGCACAAGAUCGUGUAGUUCGUUUUGCUAGAGAUUUUCCAAUGUCAAGUAUCUUUUCCUUAGACCAUGAGAUCGUCUAACUCCCGGAUACCGUAGGAGUGCUUUGGGUGUACCAAACGUCACAACGUAACUGGGUGACUAUAAAGGUGCACUACAGGUAUCUCCGAAAGUGUCUGUUGGGUUGACACGGAUCGAGACUGGGAUUUGUCACUCCGUAUUAUAGAGAGGUAUCACUGGGCCCACUCGGUACUGCAUCAUCAUUAUGAGCUCAAAGUGACCAAGUGUCUGGUCACGGGAUCAUGCAUUACGGUACGAGUAAAGUGACUUGCCGGUAACGAGACUGAACGAGGUAUUGGGAUACGGACGAUCGAGUCUCGGACAAGUAACAUACCAUCUGACAAAGGGAAUAGUAUAUGGGGUUGCUUGAAUCCUCGACAUCGUGGUUCAUCCGAUGAGAUCAUCGAGGAGUAUGUGGGAGCCAACAUAGGUAUCCAGAUCCCGCUGUUGGUUAUUGACCGGAGAGCUGUCUCGGUCAUGUCUACAUGUCUCCCGAACCCGUAGGGUCUACACACUUAAGGUUCGGUGACGCUAGGGUUGUAUGAAUAUGAGUAUGUAGCAAACCGAAUGUUGUUCGGAGUCCCGGAUGAGAUCCCGGACGUCACGAGGAGUUUCGGAAUGGUCCGGAGGUAAAGAAUUAUAUAUAGGAAGUGGUGUUUCGGCCAUCGGGAAAGUUUCGGGGUCACCCGGUAUUGUACCGGGACCACCGGAAGGGUCCCGGGGGUCCACUGGGUGGGGCCACCUAUCUCGGAGGGCCUCGUGGGCUGAAGUGGAGGGGAACCAGCCCCUAGUGGGCUGGUGCGCCCCCCCUUGGGCCUCCCCUGCGCCUAGGGUUGGAAACCCUAGGUGGGGGGGGGCCCACUUGCCUUGGGGGGCACUCCACCCCCCCUGGCCGCCGCCCCCUUGGGAGAUUGCAUCUCCCAGGGCUGGCGCCCCCCUGGGGGCCUAUAUAAAGGAGGGCAGGGGGAGGGCAGCCACACCCUGUGUCUUGGCGCCUCCCUCCCCCUGCUACACCUCGUCCUCCUCCCGCGGCAGCUUGGCGAAGCCCUGCCGGAGUUCUGCUGCAUCCACCACCACGUCGACGUGCUGCUGGAUCAUCAUCAACCUCUCCUUCCCCCUUGCUGGAUCGAGACGGAGGAGACGUCACGCUGACCGUACGUGUGUUGAACGCGGAGGUGCCGUCCGUUCGGCGCUAGGAUCUCCGGUGAUAGGAUCACGACGAGAAUGACUACCUCAACCCCAUUCUUUUGAAUGCUUCCGCUCGCGAUCUACAAAGUGGUAUGUAGAUGCAUCUCUCCUUUCACUCGUUGCUUAGAUGAACUCAUAGAUGGAUCUUGGUGAAACCGUAGGAAAAAUUUUAUUUUCUGCAACGUUCCCCAACAGUGGUAUCAAAGCCAGGUUUAUGCGUAGUUCUCUAUUGCACGAGUAGAACACAAAUUUGUUGUGGGCGUAGAUCUUGUCAACUUGCUUGCCGCUACUAGUCUUUUCUUGCUUCAGCGGUAUUGUGGGAUGAAACGGCCCGGACCGACCUUACACGUACGCUUACAUGAGACAGGUUUCACCGACUGACAUGCACUAGUUGCAUAAGGUGGCUAGCGGGUGUCUGUCUCUCCCACUUUAGUUGGAGCGGAUUCGACGAAAAGGGUUCUUAUGAAGGGUAAAUAGAAGUUGACAAAAUCACGUUGUGGUUAUUCGUAGGUAAGAAAACGUUCUUGCUAGAACCCAUUUGCAGCCACGUAAAAGAUGCAACAACAAUUAGAGGACGUCUAACUUGUUUUUACAGCAAUUGUCAUGUGAUGUGAUAUGGCCAGAAGUUGUGAUGAAUGAUAUAUUGUGAUGUAUGAGAUCAAGUUCUUGUAAUAGGAAUCACGACUUGCAUGUCGAUGAGUAUGACAACCGGCAGGAGCCAUAGGAGUUGUCUUUAUUUUUUGUAUGACCUGCGUGUCAUUGAAGAACGCCAUGUAAAUUACUUUACUUUAUUGCUAAAUGCGUUAGCCAUAGAAGUAGAAGUAGUCGUUGGCGUGACAAAUUCAUGAAGACACGAUGAUGGAGAUCAUGAUGAUGGAGAUCAUGGUGUCAUGCCAGUGACGAAGAUGAUCAUGGAGCCCCGAAGAUGGAGAUCGAAGGAGCUAUAUGAUAUUCGCCAUAUCAUGUCACUACUAUAUAAUUGCAUGUGAUGUUUAUUAUGUUUUAUGCAUCUUGUUUACUUAGAACAGCGGUAGUAAAUAAGAUGAUCCCUUAUAAUAAUUUCAAGAAAGUGUUCCCCCUAACUGUGCACCGUUGCUAAAGUUCGUCGUUUCGAAGCACCACGUGAUGAUCGGGUGUGAUAGAUCCUUACGUUCACAUACAACGGGUGUAAGACAGAUUUACACAUGCAGAACACUUAGGGUUAACUUGACGAGCCUAGCAUGUACAGACAUGGCCUCGGAACACAAGAGACCGAAAGGUCGAACAUGAGUCGUAUGGAAGAUACGAUCAACAUGGAGAUGUUCACCAAUGAUGACUAGUCCGUCUCACGCGAUGAUCGGACACGGCCUAGUCGACUCGGAUUGUGUAACACUUAGAUGACUAGAGGGAUGUCAAUCUGAGUGGGAUUUCAUUCAAUAAUUUGAUUAGAUGAACCUAAUUAUCAUGAACUUAGUCUAAAACCUUUGCAAAUAUGUCUUGUAGAUCAAAUGGCCAACGCUCAUGUCAACAUGAACUUCAACGCGUUCCUAGAGAAAACCAAGCUGAAAGAUGAUGGCAGCAACUAUUCGGACUGGGUCCGGAACCUGAGGAUCAUCCUCAUAGCAGCCAAGAAAGCAUAUGUCCUAGAUGAACCGCUAGGUGAAGCACCCAUCCCAGAGAACCAAGACGUUAUGAACGCUUGGCAGUCACGUGCUGAUGAUUACUCCCUCAUUCAGUGCGGCAUGCUUUACAGCUUAGAACCGGGGCUCCAAAAGUGUUUUGAGAAACAUGGAGCAUAUGAGAUGUUCGAGGAGCUGAAAAUGGUUUUUCAAGCUCAUGCCCGGGUCGAGAGAUAUGAAGUCUCCGACAAGUUCUAUAGUUGUAAGAUGGAGGAAAACAGUUCUGUCAGUGAGCACAUACUCAAAAUGUCUGGGUUGCACAACCGCCUGUCCCAGCUGGAGAUCAACCUCCCGGACGAGGCGCUCAUUGACAGAAUCCUUCAGUCACUCCCGCCGAGCUACAAGAGCUUUCUGUUGAACUACAAUAUGCAGGGGAUGGUGAAGACCAUUCCUGAAGUAUUUUCAAUGCUGAAGUCAGCAAAGGUUGAAAUCAAGAAAGAACAUCAAGUGUUGAUGGUCAAUAAGACCACUAAGUUCAAGAAGGGCAAGGGUAAGAAGAACUUCAAGAAGGACGGCAAGGAUGUUGCCGCGCCCGGUAAACCAGUUGCCGGGAAGAAGUCAAAGAAUGGACCCAAGCCUGAGACUGAGUGCUUUUAUUGCAAAGGGAAGGGUCACUGGAAGCGGAACUGCCCCAAAUACUUAGCGGACAAGAAGGCCGGCAACACUAAAGGUAUAUUUGAUAUACAUGUAAUUGAUGUGUACCUUACCAGUACUCGUAGUAACUCCUGGGUAUUUGAUACCGGUGCCGUUGCUCAUAUUUGUAACUCACAGCAGGAGCUGCGGAAUAAGCGGAGACUGGCGAAGGACGAGGUGACGAUGCGCGUCGGGAAUGGUUCCAAGGUCGAUGUGAUCGCCGUCGGCAUGCUACCUCUACAUUUACCCACGGGAUUAGUUAUGAACCUCAAUAAUUGUUAUUUAGUGCCAAGUUUGAGCAUGAACAUUGUAUCUGGAUCUCGUUUAAUACGAGAUGGCUACUCAUUUAAAUCCGAGAAUAAUGGUUGUUCUAUUUAUAUGAGAGAUAUGUUUUAUGGUCAUGCCCCGAUGGUCAAUGGUUUAUUCUUAAUGAAUCUCGAACGUAAUGUUACACACAUUCAUAGCGUGAAUACCAAAAGAUGUAAAGUUGAUAACGAUAGUCCCACAUACUUGUGGCACUGCCGCCUUGGUCACAUUGGUGUCAAACGCAUGAAGAAGCUCCAUGCUGAUGGACUUUUAGAGUCUCUCAAUUAUGAAUCAUUUGACACAUGCGAACCAUGCCUCAUGGGCAAAAUGACCAAGAUUCCGUUCUCCGGAACAAUGGAGCGAGCAACCAACUUAUUGGAAAUCAUACAUACCGAUGUGUGCGGUCCAAUGAGUGUUGAGGCUCGCGGAGGAUAUCGUUAUGUUCUCGCUCUCACUGAUGACUUGAGUAGAUAUGGGUAUGUCUACUUAAUGAAACACAAGUCUGAAACCUUUGAAAAGUUCAAGGAAUUUCAGAAUGAGGUAGAGAAUCAACGUGACCGAAAGAUAAAGUUCCUACGAUCAGAUCGUGGAGGAGAAUACUUAAGUCACGAAUUUGCUACACACUUAAGGAAAUGUGGAAUCAUUUCACAACUCACGCCGCCUGGAACACCUUAGCGUAACGGUGUGUCAGAACGUCGUAAUCACACUCUAUUGGAUAUGGUGCGAUCUAUGAUGUCUCUUACCGAUUUACCGCUAUCAUUUUGGGGAUACGCUCUAGAGACAGCUACAUUCACUUUAAAUAGGGCACCAUCUAAAUCCGUUGAGACGACACCGUAUGAAUUAUGGUUUGGGAAGAAACCUAAGCUGUCAUUUCUAAAAGUUUGGGGAUGCGAUGCUUAUGUCAAGAAACUACAACCUGAAAAGCUCGAACCCAAGUCGGAAAAAUGCGUCUUCAUAGGAUACCCUAAGGAAACCAUUGAGUAUACCUUCUACUUAAGAUCCGAGGGCAAGACCUUUGUUGCCAAGAACGGAUCCUUUCUGGAAAAAGAGUUUCUCUCGAAAGAAGUAAGUGGGAGGAAAGUAGAACUCGAUGAAGUACUAGCUCUUGAACCGGAAAGUAGUACAGCUCAGGAAAAUGUUCCUGUGGUGCCUACACCAACUGGAGAGGAAAUUAAUGAUUGUGAUCAAGGUACUUCGGAUCAAGUUGCUACUGAACCUCGUAGGUCCACAAGGACAUGUUCCACACCAGAGUGGUAUGGCAACCCUGUCCUGGAAAUCAUGUUGUUAGACAACGGUGAACCUUCGAACUAUGAAGAAGCGAUGACGGGCCCAUAUUCCAACAAAUGGCUUGAAGCCAUGCAAUCCGAGAUAGAAUCCAUGUAUGAAAACAAAGUAUGGACUUUGACUGACUUGCCCGAUGAUCGGCGAGCGAUAGAAAACAAAUGGAUCUUUAAGAAGAAGACGGACGCGGAUGGUAAUAUUACCGUCUAUAAAGCUCGACUUGUCGCUAAGGGUUAUCGACAAGUUCAAGGGGUUGACUGCGAUGAGACAUUCUCUCCCGUAGCGAAGUUGAAGUCCGUCCGAAUCAUGUUAGCAAUUGACGCAUACUAUGAUUAUGAGAUAUGGCAGAUGGACGUCAAAACGGCAUUCCUUAACGGGCAUCUUAAGGAAGAAUUGUAUAUGAUGCAGCCAGAGGGUUUUGUCGAUCCUAAGAAUACUAACAAAGUAUGCAAGCUCCAGCGAUCCAUUUAUGGGCUGGUGCAAGCAUCUCGGAGUUGGAACAUUCGCUUUGAUGAGAUGAUCAAAGCAUUUGGGUUUAUGCAGACUUAUGGAGAAGCCUGCGUUUACAAGAAAGUGAGUGGGAGCUCUGUAGCAUUUCUCAUAUUAUAUGUAGAUGACAUACUUUUGAUGGGAAAUGAUAUAGAACUUUUGGACAGCAUUAAGGCCUACUUGAAUAAGUGUUUUUCAAUGAAGGACCUUGGAGAAGCUGCUUACAUAUUAGGCAUCAAGAUCUAUAGGGAUAGAUCAAGACGCCUCAUAGGUCUUUCACAAAGCACAUACCUUGAUAAGAUUUUGAAGAAGUUCAAAAUGGAUCAGUCCAAGAAGGGGUUCUUGCCUGUAUUGCAAGGUGUGAGAUUGAGCUCAGCUCAAUGCCCGACCACGGCAAAAGAUAAAGAAGAGAUGAGUGUCAUCCCCUAUGCUUCAGCCAUAGGAUCUAUUAUGUAUGCCAUGCUGUGUACCAGACCUGAUGUAAACCUUGCCGUAAGUUUGGUAGGAAGGUACCAAAGUAAUCCCGGCAAGGAACACUAGACAGCGGUCAAGAAUAUCCUGAAGUACCUCAAAAGGAGAAAGGACAUGUUUCUCAUUUAUGGAGGUGACGAAGAGCUCGCCGUAAAGGGUUACGUCGACGCUAGCUUCGACACAGAUCUAGAUGACUCUAAGUCACAAACCGGAUACAUGUAUAUGUUGAAUGGUGGAGCAGUAAGCUGGUGCAGCUGCAAGCAGAGCGUUGUGGCGGGAUCUACAUGUGGAGCGGAGUACAUGGCAGACUCGGAGGCAGCGCAUGAAGCAAUAUGGGUGAAGGAGUUCAUCACCGACCUAGGAGUCAUACCCAAUGCGUCGGGGCCGAUCAAACUCUUCUGUGACAACACUGGAGCUAUUGCCCUUGCCAAGGAGCCCAGGUUUCACAAGAAGACCAGGCACAUCAAGCGUCGUUUCAACUCCAUCCGUGAAAAUGUUCAAGAUGGAGACAUAGAUAUUUGCAAAGUACAUACGGAUCUGAAUGUCGCAGAUCCGUUGACUAAACCUCUCUCGCGAGCAAAACAUGAUCAACACCAGAACUCUAUGGUUGUUCGAUUCAUCACAAUGUAACUAGAUUAUUGACUCUAGUGCAAGUGGGAGACUGUUGGAAAUAUGCCCUAGAGGAUAUAAUAAAAGGAUUAUUAUUAUAUUUCCUUGUUUAUGAUAAUUGUCUUUAUUCAUGCUAUAAUUGUAUUAUCCGGAAAUCGUAAUACACAUGUGAAUACAUAGACCAUAAUAUGUCCCUAGUAAGCCUCUAGUUGACUAGCUCGUUGAUCAACAUAUAGUCAUGGUUUCCUGACUAUGGACAUUAGAUGUCGUUGAUAGCAGGAUCACAUCAUUAGGAGAAUGAUGUGAUGGACAAGACCCAAUCCUAAGCAUAGCACAAGAUCGUGUAGUUCGUUUUGCUAGAGCUUUUCCAAUGUCAAGUAUCUUUUCCUUAGACCAUGAGAUCGUGUAACUCCCGGAUACCGUAGGAGUGCUUUGGGUGUACCAAACGUCACAACGUAACUGGGUGACUAUAAAGGUGCACUACAGGUAUCUCCGAAAGUGUCUGUUGGGUUGACACGGAUCGAGACUAGGAUUUGUCACUCCGUAUUACGGAGAGGUAUCACUGGGCCCACUCGGUAGUGCAUCAUCAUUAUGAGCUCAAAGUGACCAAGUGUCUGGUCAUGAGAUCAUGCAUUACGGUACGAGUAAAGUGACUUGCCGGUAACGAGACUGAACGAGGUAUUGGGAUAUCGACGAUCGAGUCUCGGGUAAGUAACAUACCGUCUGACAAAGGGAAUAGUAUACGGGGUUGCUUGAAUCCUCGACAUCGUGGUUCAUCCGAUGAGAUCAUCGAGGAGUAUGUGGGAGCCAACAUGGGUAUCCAGAUCCCGCUGUUGGUUAUUGACCGGAGAGCUGUCUCGGUCAUGUCUACAUGUCUCCCGAACCCGUAGGGUCUACACACUUAAGGUUCGGUGACGCUAGGGUUGUAUGAAUAUGAGUAUGCAGCAAACUGAAUGUUUUUCGGAGUCCCGGAUGAGAUCCCGGACGUCACGAGGAGUUUCAGAAUGGUCCGGAGGUAAAGAAUUAUAUAUAGGAAGUGGUGUUUCGGCCAUCGGGAAAGUUUCGGGGUCACCCGGUAUUGUACCGGGACCACCGGAAGGGUCCCGGGGGUCCACCGGGUGGGGCCACCUAUCCCGGAGGGCCCCGUGGGCUGAAGAGGGAGGGGAACCAGCCCCUAGUAGGCUGGUGCGCCCCCCCUUGGGACUCCCCUGUGCCUAGGGUUGGAAACCCUAGGUGGGGGGGCACUUGCCUUGGGGGGCACUCCACCCCCCCUGGCCGCCGCCCCCUUGGGAGAUUGCAUCUCCUAGGGCCGGCGCCCCCCUGGGGGCCUAUAUAAAGGAGGGCAGGGGGGAGGGCAGCCGCACCCUGUGUCUUGGCGCCUCCCUCCCCCUGCUACACCUCGUCCUCCUCCCGCAGCAGCUUGGCGAAGCCCUGCCGGAGUUCUGCUGCAUCCACCACCACGCUGUCGUGCUGCUGGAUCAUCAUCAACCUCUCCUUCCCCCUUGCUGGAUCGAGACGAAGGAGACGUCAUGCUGACCAUACGUGUGUUGAACGCGGAGGUGCCGUCCGUUCGGCGCUAGGAUCUCCGGUGAUAGGAUCACGACGAGAACGACUACCUCAACCCCAUUCUUUUGAAUGCUUCCGCUCGCGAUCUACAAAGUGGUAUGUAGAUGCAUCUCUCCUUUCACUCGUUGCUUAGAUGAACUCAUAGAUGGAUCUUGGUGAAACCGUAGGAAAUUUUUUAUUUUCUGCAACGUUCCCCAACAACAUCCACGAUCUUUCAAUUGGUAUCAGAGCCUCGUCUCUCUUUGUUGGGCUUAACCGCCUAGAGAGUAAAGAUGUCGACUAGGGGAUUAGGAUUCUCUGACACUCUUAGUUUCGAUGGCACAAAUUUUGAUGUUUGGGUAAUUCACGUGCUUAAUCUCUUUAGGGUCAUGGACCCAAAUUUAGAGCGAAUUGUAGAUAUGAGUUUUUCUCCUCCAAAGAAUCCCCAAAGAUUAUCUUUAGGGGAUGAGAAAAACUCUUAUCUCAAUGCUCAAACUUCUAAUGUGCUUUUCGAUGCUUUGAGCAAUGUAGUUAUAUUUCAACUCAUGCCGUUCCGGGAUGCUCAUCAGUUGUGGACAAAGCUUCAAGAUAAAUAUGGCAUGUCCAAGAUUUGUAAGGAUGAUUGUUCUCCCUCCACCUUCGGCCGUGUUGCAUUCUCAACUUCUUCUACUUCACCUACAUAUGGUUUGCCACAAGGUAAUGAUAUGGUGAGUAGUGUUGGUCAUUGCAAUGAUGAUAGUAUGCUUAUUGUGGAUGAUCCUUCAUCACUAUCUUAUUGCAAUGCUCCCUCUUUAGGCUUUAACACUUCGAGCACUCCAAAUGUUUCACAUGCUUGUGUUGAUAAUCCUUGCAUAUCAUGUAGAAAUUGCUUGACUAGAUCUCAUGAUGAUAUGCUUGCUAUGUCUUGUUGCCAUGAUAAAAAUGCAUCUAUUUCCUCGAAUUGUUGUGCUAACAAUGUAGAGGAAACCGAACACUCCAUGGAACAAUAUGUGGUGUUUAAUGGUGCCUCAAGGGAUCCUACAUCAUCAUCUAUUGCUUUUUGCCUUAUGGCUAGGGCGUCAAAGGUAUCUCCUACUUUGUACCCCAAUAUGUCUCUUGAUGAUGAUGUUGAGGAUAAUGAUGAAGAGAAUGAUAAUGUUGCCUCCUUAAAAACUAAGAGGGAAAUGAUUUUUAAAGCUCUUCAUAAAAAUAAAAUUGCUCGUUCCAACUUCAUGGAAAUAAUGUCCAUUGCCAUUGAUGACAAGAAAUACAUUGAGGAGUUGGAAUCUCAUCUAGAGGAGCAUGAGGUCACCAUUGAGAAAAUGGAAGGUCAUGGGCGUGAUUAUGCUAAUGAGAUUGCGGACCUCUCUCAAGCUCUUGAACUUGAACAAACCACCAAGGAAUCUCUUGAGGAGACUUUUGCUCUAGAAUUGUCUAGAGUGAAGGAAUGUAAUGAUAGAGCUCUUGAGGUGGCCAAUGUUUUUGAAACUAAAAAUGCUAAGCUUGAAGUUGCUCAUGCUAGACUCCUUGAGGAUUUUGAGCACCUCGAAAAUGGCUCAAGGGUCAUCAAGGGUGAGCUCAUCAAACUCACCGAGUCUCAUGCUCAACUUGAAGCUUCUUAUUUAAAAGAGCUUUCCAAGUUGUCCUCUCCUAUUGUUGUAAAUGAUGAUGCUUGUGCUACUAACUCUAUUGCUUGUGAAGCAUCCAUUUUGAAGGAGAAUGUUGAGCUAUGGGCUCAACUUGAGGUGCUAUCUAGCAAUUAUGGGAAAUUGGAAGAAAGUCAUGAAAAGCUCUCAAGCUCUCAUGAUGAUCUUCUAGUAUCCCAUAGUGUUCUAAAGAUAGCUCAUGAGGCCAUGAUUGCUAAGGUAACAUCUAGUAAGCCUCAUGUGGAUACUAGCACUACUUCUAGUCAAAAUAGUAUAUUGCCAUGUGAUAGUCCUUGUAAUUCAUCUACUCACAAUGUUGGUACAUCUUGUGAUGAAUUGCUUUCCUUGCCUUGUUGCUCUAACGAUGAAGCUUAUACUUCCUCUAGUACUUGUGUUGAGACUAACCAUGUAGAGGAAAUCAAAGAGCUCAAGGCCCAAGUCACUUCUUUGAAGAAAGACUUGGAAAAGAGUCAUCAAGGGAAAUCCACACUCAACAAUAUAUUGAGUGUGCAAAAAUCCCCCAAUGACAAAGGUGGACUUGGAUUCAACUCCAAUAGGAAGAAGAAGUCCAAGAUGAACAAAAGGAAGGGCCAAGAACAAGUCAAGAAUUCAGCCAAGAUUCUUUGCUUCAAGUGCAAAGUCGAAGGGCAUCAUGUUAGAUCUUGCCCAUUGAAGAAGAAGGCCAUUAGUGUCAAGCAACAAGUUGAAGAAAGGCCUCUUCCCAAGAAGACUCAAGUUAAUGCUUCUCAAAUUGAGAAAUCAAGUGAGAAGAAAGUGAAGAGUAGACGUUGCUACUUAUGUCGUGAGAAAGGUCACGUUGCUUCUUCAUGCACUAGUGGUAACUUAUCCAACCCAAUUAUUAUUGAUGAUAUCUAUUCUCUUGGUAAGGAUAAGGUUGGCAAUGUGUUUGCCACGUUUGUUGGUACUCAAAGUGGUGUCAAGCAAAGAACCAUUUGGGUAGCCAAACCUAUUGUGACUAACCUCUUAGGACCCAACUUGGUUGGGGACCAACAAGCUCAAACUUGAUCAAUAGGUGUUGUUGGAGGGCAUUGGAGACUUGGCUACAUUGUGAAGAAUUAAGGGGACUUCAUCACUCUUAUUGUCUCAAGCCAAGUCAAUUGAAUCAUCAAGUUUAUAUCUUAUAUCGAAUGUGCCUCCUUGCGGUAACUUGUACUUAAAAUUGCUUACAUUGAAAGUUACUUGCCCCCUUGCAUGUUUUGGUUUUGUUCCUUGCAUGUGUUUGUAUAUGUUGUGAUUCCAACUUGCUUAUCUUGAGCAAUCAAGUAUGUGUGUGUUGGUUUGCACAUCAUGUACGCGUGUGUCGUGCGUUGAGACUUUAUGCUUCUUGUUUGUAUCCUAGUUGGCUCGUGUGAGAGAUUAAUGGAACAUCCCAUUUUGGGGGAGUGAUAUGCUUUGUGCACCUCACAAUCCUAUAAAUAUGUGUACAUGAGGAAUACCAUCUAGUAUUGAUAUUACAAGAUUAUCUAGUCGCUAGGUGGUAUAUCUCUCAUGAGAAAUUCAAAUUCUAAAUAGUCCAUUAAUUAUCUCUUGUUUGUUCCUCUUAUUGCCUCUUGUUAAGUUCUUAUUGGUAUCACAUUAUGGGGGAGUAAUAUGCUAAGUGCAUAUUACAAGCCUAGAAAAUGUGUACAUUUGAGAUAUUGUCACCUAGAAUUGAUAUUGUAGAUUAUCUUGUUCCUAGGUGGCAUGUUAGCUCUACAAGUUGCAAUUUGCUUGUGUUGUGUGUGAAGAUGAUGUCGGAUAUCCUUGUUAUCUACCACCGGGAAUUAUUUCCAAAUACUUCUUGUCUUUGACAAUUGGUAGUCUUAUGUGUGGUAGAAUUUGUUGAUCAUCUUUACAUUGGCUUUUGUUUUACUUGCCUUUUCUCUUGCCAAGGUUUGUGUCAACUCCCGUUGUCUUCCAUACCACUUGUGGAUCUUGUUUAUUUCUUGUUCUUGUCUAGUGUUUUCUAGAUAUAGUGAAAGCGGUGAUCCCACCUUGUGCAUUUUCUAUUCAAAUACAAAUCCUAUAUAAUGCACAACUCGUGGGGGAACUAUUCUAUUUUCUUUAGAACACUCUUCUUGUGAUCCUUAUCAAGUGUGUUUUGGUGGAAGGCAAGCCAUUUCUUUUUGGUACUUUGUGCCAUCAUGAAACUUUGUUGAGAGCUUGGUUUGUUUGGAACCAUCCUCUCUUUGGGAGUUUGACAUCUUUAGUUUAGUGUGCAUCAAUGGAUAUCUUAUUCCUUGAUGUAUCUUUAAUGAUAUCUUCCAAGUGAUGAUUUCUCCAUUUGGUAUCCUUUUCACUUGGCAUUUCUUUGUCUUUUGGUUUCGGGUUUUGAAAGUCUUGAGCAUGCAUGUUUACUUCAUGUAUUUCAUUUGGCAUGCUUUCUUUCUUUGACUCAAUAUAUAGCGGAAACUCCACCUAGUCUCAAUUUGGAUGAGAUGUGCAUGAAAUUCAUUUUCAUAUCUAUAUGCACAUAUUUAUGUGGAGUUUGUCCUAUGUAUUGCUGUUUCUAACUAUUUGGUCCCGAUGAGUUUGGGGUACCGUUUAGUUUGUGUUGUUCUUCUAGGAACAUUUGGAGAUGCAUUGGAUGCUCGGCUCACUCACAAGGAAGGUGUUGUCACCAUGUGCAUAUUGGAGUCAAGCUAGGAUGAUCAAUGAACUACUAUCUACCUUCAAUUGGUAUCUACUACAUCCUUCCAAUGAUAUCUCGGUAACAAGUAUUUAUUCAUGCUUUCUCCUCUUGCAUUCAACCUUGUGUAGGUUGCAUCUUGGCAUGAUAUUCAUUUCAUACCUUGUGAUACUUGUUUCCUUUCUCAAAGCAUCCCAACGAUGAUCUAUUGUUGCUAGUUGUGAUGCCUUUGAUGGAUGUGUGUUUGGACUUCAUUUAUAUACAAUAAGACCAUAUCUAGCCAAGUGCUAUGCUUUCAAGCAAAUAUCUUAUUGGUAUAUUUAUGACUUCCUUGUGGAUAUCUUGUUCUUUCGUGUUGUAACUAUUUCGGGUGUACAUCCUUCUCUGUAGAUAUAUAUAUAUCAUCAUGAUUUCGUCUACAUAGAACCUUAUACACUUGAGAGAAAUUAAUUUUCUAGUUGAUAUCCUUUCUUUCACGUCCACCUUGUCUUUCUUAUGUUAUUUCUUUGGUGGCUCCGUGAAAGCUUUUGCCUUGAGUGUGUGUCCUCUAUCGUUGCAUCUUGUUACACUCUUGUGUGGUGAAGAUUAUUUUCCUCUUGAUUAUUGAGGGAGUCCUGGACUAGGGGGUGUCCGGAUAGCCGAACUAUCAUCAUCGGCCGGACUCCAAGACUAUGAAGAUACAAGAUUGAAGACUUCGUCCCGUGUCCGGAUGGGACUUUCCUUGGCGUGGAAGGCAAGCUUGGCGAUACGGAUAUGUAGAUCUCCUACCAUUGUAACCGACUCUGUGUAACCCUAGCCCUCUCCGAUGUCUAUAUAAACCGGAUGGUUUUAGUCUGUAGGACAUAACAACAAUCAUACCAUAGGCUAGCUUCUAGGGUUUAGCCUCCUUGAUCUCGUGGUAGAUCUACUCUUGUAAUACCCACAUCAUCAAUAUCAAUCAAGCAGGACGUAGGGUUUUACCUCCAUCAAGAGGGCCCGAACCUGGGUAAAACAUCGUGUCCCUUGUCUCCUGUUACCAUCCGCCUAGACGCACAGUUCGGGACCCCCUACCCGAGAUCCGCCGGUUUUGACACCGACAUUGGUGCUUUCAUUGAAAGUUCCACUAUGUCGUCACCGAUAGGCUCGAUGGCUCCUUCGAUCAUCAACAACGACGCGGUCCAGGGUGAGACUUUUCUCCCCGAACAGAUCUUCGUAUUUGGCGGCUUCGCACUGCGGGCCAAUUCGUUUGGCCAUCUGGAGCAGAUCGAAAGCUACGCCCCUGGCCGUCAGGUCAGAUCUGGAAGUCUGAACUUCACGGCCAGCAUCCGCGAGACUUGAUCUUCGAUGGAUUCGAGCCACAGUCGAGCGCGCUGCACUGUCACGAUGGACAUGAUCUAGCUUUGAUGCCGGACAGUGCCUUGGAGGCCGCACACGAGUCUACUCCGACCCUCGAUUCGGAGCCGGCUAUGCAGAUCGAGGACGGGUGGCUGGACACCGCCUCGGGGACUGCAACCUCUACGGUGAUAGAGCCGAACACUGACCUUGUCCCUUGUGAAGCUUGUGACUCCGAGGUGCCGGACUCCUUGCCGGACUCCAAACCUCCCACACCCCCUUCAAUCGAAUCCGAUUGGGCGCCCAUCAUGGAGUUCACCGCUGCGGACAUCUUUCAACACUCACCUUUCGGCGACAUCCUGAGUUCGCUAAAGUACCUCUUGCUAUCAGGAGAGCCCUGGCCGGACUGCGGUCAGGACGGUUGGGAUGCGGACGACGAAGAAAUUCAAGGCCCACCCACCACCCACUUAGUAGCCACUGUCGACGAUUUAACCGACAUGCUAGACUUCGACUCCGAAGAGAUCAACGGUAUGGACGACGAUGCCAGAGACGACCAAGAACCAGCACCUACUGGGCACUGGAAAGCCACCUCAACUCACGACGUAUACAUGGUGGAUACACCAAAAGGAAGCGAUAACGAGGAACAACGAGACGCGGCGAAGGAUAAUUCCCCCGAAAAACAACAAAAACGGCGACGCAAGCACCGCCCGAAGUCCCACCUCGAUAACAACGACACCCAUACUGACCCAGCCGUAGAGCAGGGUAAACCAGUAGACGAGCAACCCAUUCCCGGCGAAAAAAAUAGUCCAACCGAUCUCAUGCCGGACACAUCACCGGAGCAUAAGAACCUUCACAGAAGGCUCGUCACCACGGCAAGGAGUUUGAAGAAGCAAAAGCGGAAGCUCAAAACGGCGGAAGACGUACUCAGAAUGAGAUGGAGCAAAGUACUCAAGACCGCAGAUAAAUACGGCGAUAGUCACCAAGCAAAGAGCUACCCGAAGCGCAAGCUGUUGCCCGAAUUUGACGAGGAGGCCGUAGAGCCCCCACAGUCAAAAAAGAAAGAGGCCGCCUGGCCGGAUAGACGACCAGAUAACAGGCUAAGAGCGGCAAGCGGAGCCGCACAUAAUCCGGCACACGAUCCAAAUAAGGAUCCUCGCAAAAAGGAUGGCCCAGUCAGGUCCAUCUAUGGGCCAAAAUAGAAGGCUCCAGGAAGCGACACAACCCGCCGAGUGUUCGAAGAUAACGGCACACCUAAGUACAGGGGCGCCGCACACCCACUAUGUUUCACCGACGAGGUACUGGAUCAUGAAUUUCCAGCGGGAUUCAAGCCCGUAAACAUAGAGGCAUAUGACAGAACAACAGACCCCGGAGUCUGGAUUGAGGAUUAUAUCCUACACAUACAUAUGGCUAGAGGAGACGAUCUCCACACCAUAAAAUACCUACCCCUCAAGCUCAAAGGGCCAGCUCGGCAUUGGCUCAAAAGCCUCCCGGAAAAUACCAUCGGAAGUUGGGAAGAGCUUGAGGAUGCGUUUCGAGCAAAUUUUCAGGGAACUUAUGUCUGCCCUCCGGACGUGGACGAUUUAAGUCACAUAACUCAACAGCCCGGGGAGUCAGCAUGCAAAUUCUGGAACAGGUUCCUCACCAAAAAUAACCAAAUAGUCGACUGUCCGGACGCCGAAGCCUUAGCAGCCUUUAAACAUAACGUCCGAGACGAAUGGCUCGCCAGACACCUCGGCCAGGAAAAACCAAGAACAAUGGCCGCACUAACAAGCCUCAUGACCCGCUUUUGCGCGGGGGAAGAUAGCUGGCUAGCAAGAUGCAGCACUAGCGACCCGAGUACAUCCGAGGUCAGGGAUGGAAAUGGGAAAUCACGACGCAGAAAAGAUCAGCGCUGGAAUAAGGAAAGCGGCCCAAAUAGCACGGCGGUCAACGCCAGAUUCAAAAGCUCUCGGCCGAAUAACAAAACACUGCCCCUUAAGGACAACAGUGACGAGCUAUCCAACCUAAACAAAAUCUUGGAUAGGAUAUGUCAAAUCCACAGUAUCCCCGAGAAGCCUGCAAACCAUACCCACAGAGAUUGUUGGGUCUUCAAGCAGUCCGGCCGACUUAACGCCGAACACAAGGGGCUCGACACACCAAGCGAAGACGAUGACGAAUCCCACAAGCAGCAGGCCGGAAAACAGAAGACUUUCCCACUAGAAGUCAAAACAGUGAACUCACUUCAUGUGAUAAAUAGUGCGGCAACUACUAAAACACGCGCCGCACGAUCCACCCAAGCAGAGCCCCGAAAUUGGAUGUCAAACCCAAUUACUUUUGACCAUCAGGAUUACUCCAGAAGUAUUCGAAACGCAGGAGGGACUGCUUUGAUAUUGGAUCCCAUAAUAGACGGACUACAAUUCACACAAGUCCUAAUGGAUGGCAGAAGCAAUAUAAACCUGCUAUACCAGGACACCAUCCGCAGAAUGGGGAUAGACCCUACCAAAAUUCGCCAUAGCAACACUUCCUUCAAAGGAGUGACACCAGGCCUUUAUGCCAAGUGUACAGGCUCUAUACUACUAAAAGUUGUGUUUGGUUCACCCAACAACUUCCGUCGCGAAAAGCUAAUCUUCCAUAUCGCCCCAUUCAAAAGUGGCCAUCAAGCACUACUGGGACGCGAAGCUUUCGUCCACUUUAACGCAAUACCGCAUUACAUGUCUCUUACACUCAAAAUGCCCGGUCCACGCGGCAUAAUCUCAUUAAAGGGAAACUCUGAGUGUUCCUUGACCACGGAAAACGUGAGACUGCCUUGACAGCCACACAUUAAUCCAACCUUGUUGAUCAAAGCCCCUAAAAACAGGUCAUUUAGACCUCGGACAUGGUUGGGCGAGUCCGGCAUAAAUAAACAAGGGGCUUCCCAGCUGCAUACCUAUUUACAAGGGGCUGCACGUAUAAACAAUGAGAGCCAAUAAAGCUCAAUUUCAUUCAUCUUCCAAAUCAUACUCUGUUUUAAAUACAUCUUUUGCAUGAUAUUUUUUCCAAAUUAAGUUCUUCUCUUUUACAGAUGAACCACGUGCUACACGCGUCCAGGAUAUAGCACAACGGAGACACAGGCGCAGACGUGCAGCAGGGACCUGUUACAAGGAUUCUUUUCAGAUUAAGACCCUGCGUAAACCUUUCUUACUGUCUCUUGUUGAUACUCAUCCCCCGAUUUCCUACCAUAACCGAGGAGGAGGCUGGCGUUUUGGCAUCGGCCGCGUCAGAAGUUCUCGCCUGUGCCUGGACACUAGGGGCUUAGGGCAUUGUUCUGCCCGUUAUCAUAAAGUCCGAAUACCUUAGGGAGUGUUCGGCGUCUCGAGUUAGGCCUUAUAUGCAUCAGCUCCGAAUCAUGUCUUUGGUCAAAUGUUGGGUUUGCCCGGCUCCUGUGUUUUGCUGCCUUACGUUCCGCUCCAUCGGCUAACGCGACACCAGGAGAACUACUGCGAUUGUGCCCCGGUUUGGCCGGGCGAGCACCUCAGUAGAGAAAGCCGAAAACUGAUUGUCAUGAUAUAGCGAGAGACUGGUCAACCACUCGAUCGACUAUUUGAAUGUUUAGAAUUCCUCCGCUUUCAUGAAGGACCGCUUCCCGGUCAGGCACACACGCGCCCCGAGUUCGGAGAGUGCGGUGCCUCUAGGGGCUAUAUAGUAGCCCCACCAUCGAGCUCCUAUGGCUAAGUGAAAGUGAUAAAGCAUUAUAGUCCGGUUUCCUAGUUUGCUAUGCUAUCACCUCCUUCAAAGGACCAAGACGUUGGAUUAAGUGUGAAAAUGCGCUUUUUUGCAAACACCCCCGCACUAUGUGCGUGGGGGCUGAAGCCAAAGACUGCCAUCUUUCAGGUUAUAAAUACAUAUACAUUAACGGCCGCACAGGAGAUAUUUCAAUACUUGAACGCACAAGUAUAAAAAGUCGUUACAUUAUAAAUAUGAUCUCACAAAUCAUACAUGUCAUUUGAACAUGACAUUUUUCGAGCACUGCGACUCUAUUAAAUGAGCUGCAUGACUUCCUCAAAAUAGUGCUCGGUGGGUAAUCGGCUCUCGUCCGAACCCCGGGACGCAACAUCAGUGGCAUUCAUAUCCGCCCAGUAUGUCUUAACACGGGCAAGAGCCAUCCGUGCACCCUCUAUGCAGGCCGACCGCUUCAUCGCCUUGAUAUGCGGCACCGCCCCAAGGAAUUGCUGCAAUAAGCCAAAAUAACUCUUCGGCUUGGGCCUUCCCGGCCACAGAUGAGCCACCACAUCCGUCAUGGCAAGUCCGGACAAUCUAUUCAGCUCAGCCCACUCAGCCAACCGAUCGGUCAACGGAAGUGGACGCUCCGGACUAUGGAAUUGAGACCAAAAAAGCUCUUCCAUUUCAUGAUCCUUCUGACUUCGAAAAUGCACAACUGCGUCCGCCGCACUUGCCGCCAAAUCCAGAUAAGGAUCCUCCGCACUCCACAACUGGCCCAAUUGAGCAUACUUCGGAUCCGUGAAUUUCCUCCGUAACAGAAAGGGCUUUCUAGCCGCAAUGUCUCCGGCCUGACGCAGUUCCUCCUUUAUAGCCCGCAUUGCAGAACGAGCAUCCUUGGCUUCGGCGGUGGCCUUCUUCAGGCCCUCCUGCUCCACUUGGCGCUCUCUUUCAAGAACCUCAUAGCGGUCGGUAGCAUCUUUUAAUUUCAUGGCCAUUACAGCCAUUUCCUCCCUGCUUCGGCAGUGAGCAGCCUUUUCGGCUUUUAGCUCCUCCGCUGCCUUCAAGGCAGCCGCAUCACUUUUUCUGGCUUGGUCCUUGGCUCGAGCAAGUUCUGCCCGGAGGUCUUCCACAGCAGCGGCACCAUCUGCAUCAAGCAUACAUGUUGUAAGGAGUGGGCAUCAGCUCCCUUACCAGGUGACCGCGGAGAAACCACCUACCUUGUGACUCGUCAAGUCGUUUAUUGACCAGCGCGAUGUCCGCAUCCGCAACAUCGAGUUGUCGCUUCAGCUCGGCAACUCUAUCAGUACGGCUGGCCACCGAACGUUCCACCACCUGCUUAGGAAAGGCGACAUUUUGUAACUGAGAUUAUGAUCCUCGGCACGCUGUCGCUUUCGACAACAUACCGAGUCUCAGGGGCUACUAUCUAUACAGGGCGCACCCUAUGUGCAAAACUGUCAAAAGGUAUGUCAUUUUUUGCGUACCUCAAACCCCGUCAGUAAACUUCCGACGGCCUCAUGUAACCCGCUCUCGGCGGAUGAGAUCCUUUCAAUCACCACACUCAUUAAUGCACGGUGAUCUUCUAAGAGAGACGCCCUCUCGAGCAAACCCUGCAGCUCCACCGGCCGUACUCCAGUGGGUGCCGAACUCCCAGGCCCCGCCGGACUCGGGGAGACCCUCCGUGACGACACCUCAGGGUCGUUCGCCCUGCCCGACAAGGCGGCAAAUGGAGGCAUUUCUCUCUCCAUCAUCUCUGGACGAAGAUCCCCCGAGGAUGAGCUCUGCUGAGAAGGGCUGAGAUCCGAACUACAAGGUAAAAACUUUGGUUACCCUUAGAAAUAAAAUAGGGAUGUCCCUUAUUAUAAAACUUCCCUUUUUUCUACUUACGGCUCGCUGGGGGGCUGAUUCCUUUGGGGAGACUGUGCGGCCGGGACUCCUCCCGGUACAGGACCUUCCGGUGCAGAUUUCUUUCCCCGCUUCGAGGCUUUGGCCUCCGGGUUUUCGGAAGCGGUCUUCUUCUCCCCCUAGAGGGAGGGAUUCUUGAUUCCCCCCUUACCGAGAGCCUCCUUAACAGAGGUGACAGUUUCCCUGUUCCCCCUUCGCCCUCCUCCGAAGGCGCUACCUCCAACAUUUUGAUUAACACGGGAUCCGGCGUGGUCUCAAGGAGGGGGGGCGGACACCGUAUCAGUUUUGCUUGCGCUAUCCACUCCUGUUCAAGGGAUAGCUGGUUAAAAGGCAAAUCCAUGAUAAAUAAAUGGAUGAUAUGUCCGGUCACAGGGCUACUUACUUGAGUAUCCGGGCGAUUGCAGCUUAGGCCAGCGUCCUCGGUCAAGUCCGGACACACUUCUUGUGAUCCGAAGAACAGUUUGUACAUCUCCACGGGUUUUGUACCCAUAAAGUGUUGGAGAGCUCGUGGUCCCUCCGGAUUGAAUUCCUACAGGUGGAGGGGGCGAUGUUUGCAGGGCAGAAGACGUCGAAUCAGCAUAACCUGCGUCACUACGACCAGAUUGAUCUCCCUCUCUUGGCGGUCUCGAAUCCGGCCCUGCAAUAGGGGUACGUCCUUGGACGGCCCCCAGUCGAACCCUUUGUUGACCCACGAUGUCAGCCGUGGUGGAGGGCCUGGGUGAAAGGCAGGCGGCGGCCUCUGCCUGCUGCCCCUAGGAGCAGUGAUAUAGAACCACUCCUGUUGCCACAAACCGAGCUCCUCCUGAAAAGAGCCCUUGGGCCAUGGAGCAUCGGCCCUCUUGCUUAUAACCGCCCCGCCGCACUCUGCCUGACGCCCCUCAAUCAUCUUCGGCUCCACAUUGAAGGUUUUGAGCCACAAACCAAAGUGAGGGGUAGUGCGGAGGAAGGCUUCGCAGAUGGCAAUAAAUGAUGAGAUGUGGAGGAUAGACUCCAGAGCCAAGUCGUGGAAUUCCAGCCCGUAGUAAAACAGGAGCCCCCUCACGAAGGGAUCCAUCUGGAAGCCUAAACCCCGACGGAGGUGAGACACGAACACGACACUCUCGCCAGGCUUAGGAGUAGGAAUGACUUGCCCUUGGGCAGGCAACCUAUGCGAAAUCUCGUAGGUUAGGUACCUGGCGUCUCUCAGCCUUAGCACGUCCUCUUCCAUGACGGAGGAGGGCAUCCACCGGCCCUGUAGGUCAGAGCCGGACAUUGUCGAAGAUCCGGAGUGCCCGAAUCUGGAGCCCUGGGUGUUGGAACUCGGGGCGAGGGGCGAUUUCAUUGAGGAUUGAAGAAAAGGAACGGGCCUUGGUCUCCUUAUAAAGAGGGAGAAUACCAAGAGCCGUCCUCGUGACCGUUUGGAACUCGCCUUAGAUGGAGGGGGCGUGGCAACGGGCGCGGUUGGGUUACCCACGUCCGUAUUGAUGAGAAUCCCGGGAUAAGGGGAACACGAUCUCUGCUUCGACAAGACGUGCCAAGGAAACUGCUUCGCUAAACGUGCUGAGGUGGUAUAAUAAAAACAAUUCAAGUAAAGGCUUGGUUGUGGUGUGACGUCACGCCACGAAAUGCGUCAGCAGAUUGAACUUGUGUAAAUAUUAUUCUCUCUACGGUGGAAUGUGGAAUUUAUUUUGCAGAGCCGGACACUAUCCUGGUGUUCACAAUCUUCUAUAAAUUAUUCGGAGGAGGAACCCGCCUUGCAAUGCCGAAGACAAUAUGCGCGCCGGACUCGUCAUCAUUGAAGCCUGGUUCAGGGGCUACUGAGGGAGUCCUGGACUAGGGGUGUCCGGAUAGCCGAACUAUCAUCAUCGGCCGGACUCCAAGACUAUGAAGAUACAAGAUUGAAGACUUCGUCCCGUGUCCGGAUGGGACUUUCCUUGGCGUGGAAGGCAAGCUUGGCAAUACGGAUAUGUAGAUCUCCUACCAUUGUAACCGACUCUGUGUAACCCUAGCCCUCUCCGGUGUCUAUAUAAACCGGAUGGUUUUAGUCCGUAGGACAUAACAACAAUCAUACCAUAGGUUAGCUUCUAGGGUUUAGCCUCCUUGAUCUCGUGGUAGAUCUACUCUUGUAAUACCCACAUCAUCAAUAUCAAUCAAGCAGGACGUAGGGUUUUACCUCCAUCAAGAGGGCCCGAACCUGGGUAAAACAUCGUGUCCCUUGUCUCCUGUUACCAUCCGCCUAGACGCACAGUUCGGGACCCCCUACCCGAGAUCCGCCGGUUUUGACACCGACACUUAUCUUUACGAGGUUUUUGCCAUCUUAAUUGGUAUCCCUCGUCUUGAUGAGCCUCCCCUCAUCUACCUUCACCACGGGUUGUCACAAGCAUAGGUUAUCUUUUGCUUAUUAGUAAGCUUGUGAACCCAUUUGCCAGUUGUGUGUGGGAAUUAUAGGCCUUGCAUCGUGUGCCUCAUUCUUUCAAUACUAUGUUGAUGCUUAAUGCUCAUCCUAAUUUUAGUCUUCUCAAGUGCUUCUCCAUGACUCACACACAUCAUUUUGGUUGAGCAUAUUCUUAAGUUGCCUCUUUUACAUGUUGCUCAACCAUGUGCUUGUUGCAAGCGCUAGGCUUUGUUUCCUAUAUGCUCACUUGCACUGGAUGUGAGUUUCUAUUGAUUUUGGGGGAGCUAUGAUCCUAUUUUGUGCACUUUGUAUUCAAAUACAAAAAUUCUUAUGUGUGCACAAAUCAUGGGGAGCUUCUCUAGUUUCUUUAGAACACUCCUUUGCGCUUUUCAUAAUAUCUUUAUUCUUGUGGCAUGUAGGAUCAUUGGUCUAGUUGGUUCAAUUGAUAUCCGUUGAUUGCUUGCUUCAAUUGGUAUCUUCUGAUUGCUUGUGUCUCUCUUUGUUAUGUCUUUGUGGCAUAUCUUUCUGUUGCAAUCUUUGGGCAUCAAUAUAGUUUGUCUUCCUUCAAGUAUUGGCAGUUGGAUAUGUGUAUUGCAUUCCACUCUCUUGUUGGGAAAUACACAAUUUAUGGAGGACCACAAUUUAUAUUGGCCCUCUAAGCUUUUCGCCCAUUUUGGCAAUCGAUGCCAAUGGGGGAGAAGUUUCAGAGAGUUUUGUGGAGUAGCUUUGGUUUUUGUUUCCUUAGCAUUUGCAUCUCAUUCGCAUGCAUUAUUGGUUGGUGCAUUGCAUGGUGAUGCAUAAUUCCUUGUAUAAACUCUCUUGAAAGUGAUUGUCAUCAAUUACCAAAAUGAGGGAGAUUGAAAGGACAUGCGGUGCCCCCAUGUGUGGUUUUGGUAAUUGAUGACAAUCUCUAUGGACUAAUGGUUGCCUUGAGUUAUAUUUGAAGGGUUUGCCCAUAGGCUUUUCUUGGAGUCCAUUUGUUGGUUUCAAUGAGAGUUUGUGAUGACCAAGGUGCUAUUAAGGAAUUAUCCAAAGAUUGGUCAUAUGAGUGUUGAGCUUAUUGCAAGCAUGUCUUGAAGAAGAAGGUUGUGUGAUCAUUCAUGUUUACCUUCAAGACAUCAUCCAAAUGAAGAGAGUUGCAAAGGUUCAAGGUUGAUCAAGACUAAGUCAAGAGUGAAUCAAGUUGAUCAACUCACAAAGCGUAGAAGAUGUACCGAGAGGGAUCAAGUGAUCCCAUCGUAUGGUAAGCAUUGUCCAUUGCACUUUUUGUACUAACCCAUGGUCUAUGUGAGAGUUGUAUGUGGGGUUAGGUACGUAUCCAUGGGCUUGUGUCAAGAGGAAGAUAUCAUACAACCCAUGGAAAGGAUGACAUCAAGUGGUGAUCGUCAUCAAGAUUGCCGUGUGCAAGUUCAAGUGGAGCAUCACGAAGAGAUCAAGUGCUUGAAUCUUGCCAUCCAUUAUGGUGUCAAUGGACUUGUGAAGAUGUGCCGAAGAGUGGCUCACCCAUAGUGAAUUAUGGGGGAGCAAUCAUCUAGUCUUCAUCGAACCAACGCAAUCAAGAAAGGUGGUCCAACUUGAGGGAGUCAAGAUCGUCUUCAUCUAGCUCAAGUGGACCAUGUGCAAGGCAAAGGUUUGCCCUUUAUAGGUUUUCUAUUUUACCGGUCUCGUGGUGGUAGUUGGGAGACCGAGUUAUAGGAUCGUUUGCCGUACUAUCAAGGGGGGCUCUCAAGUUGGUAGCUUGAUCGUAUCAUUAGUAGAGAGCUCAAACCAUUGCAUCCUUGCAUCAUGUUUCUUUGUUCUUGUUUGGUUCUCUUUGUGAGUCUUAGAGAUUAUGGUCAUCUUGAUGACAAGCUUUAGUUCAUCAAAAACGGAGUUCGCAUACGUCUUCUAUGAUGUUUUCGGUGUUGGAGGUUUUACCAGUCUUAUUCGAUGAAGGGUUCUCACCAUUUUCUUAUGGGACUUUUCUCAUUUGCUUAUUCUUGAUAUUUCUAUCAAUAUUGUGUUAGCCCAUGUCGUUACCUUUCCAACAAACUUUGUUUCGUUGAAUUCGGAGUCCGUUUGCAAAAGUUGUGGCCGUUUUGGUAAAGGCUGCAGCGGUACUACCGCGACUAGAGCGGAUGUAAUUUUUUACUACCGCUCCAGAGCGGUACUACCGCGGCUCCUGAGCGGUAGUACCGCUCCAGAGCAGUACUACCGCGGCUCCUAAGCGGUAGUACCGCUCCGGACCAAAAUCUCGUGUUUUGCUCAGCGGAAGUAGGCACAGAAGUAUUUUUUUAGUACCGCUCGCAAGCAGUAGUACCGCUACAAUUUGCGGUAGUACCGUGAGGUCGAGCGGUAGUACCGUGAGGACGAGCGGUAGUACCGCUCCGGCGGUUCUACUUGCCUUUUGCCUCCUCGCUGUUGUUUUUCAAAGGGGUUCUACCGCCCUAGCGGUAGUACCGCUCCUUGGAGCGGUAGUACCGCUCUGUGCGGGCUGUGAGCAUAACGGUUGGAUUUUUUCCCACCUAUAAAAGGGGGUCUUCUUCCCCAUUGAACCCAAUCCCUUUGAGCUCGUGUUCUUCCCCCAUUGUUGACCUUCUUUGAGCUUGCUAACUCUCAAUCCCUCCAUGGAUUCUUGCUAGUUUUUGAGGAAAAAGAAAGAGGAGAUCUAGAUCCACGUUUUCACCAAUCACUUUCUUCUCUAAGUGAGGGGAAUCCCUUGGAUCUAGAUCUUGGAGUUCUUCGUGUUCUUUUUUCGUUCUUCUUCUCAUUUUCCUCCCUAGCAUUAGUUGCUUUGGUGGGAUUUGGGAGAGAAGGACUUGGGCACUCCGUGUGCCCUUGCCAUUGCAUUUGGUGCAUCGGUUUGAGUUCUCCUCGGUGAUACGUGGAAGUGAAGUUUGAGAAGCUUAUUACUCUUGGGUGUUUGGGCACCCUAGAGGUUGUUCCUCUUGGGUGCCUUGGCGCCCUAGAAGGUUGGUGGUGUUCGGAGCUCAAUCAUUGUGGUGUAAAGCUCCGGGCAAGCGUCGGGUUCUCCUAUUAGGUUGUGGAGAUCGCCCUGAGCAAUUUGACGGGUUCCGGUGACCGCCCCCAAGGGUUGCCAAAGUGUACGGGUUCGGUGACCGCCCCCAAGGGUUGCCAUUUCUACGGGUUCGGUGACCGCCCUCAAGGGUCCCUUAGUGGAAUCACGGCAUCUUGCAUUGUGCGAGGGCGUGAGGAGAUUACGGUGGCCCUAGUGGCUUCUUGGGGAGCAUUGUGCCUCAACACCGCUCCAAACGGAGAUUAGCAUCCACAAGGGUGUGAACUUCGGGAUACAUCAUUGUCUCCGCGUGCCUCGGUUAUCUCUUACCCGAGCCCUUUACUUAUGCACUUUACUUGGUGAUAGCCAUAUUGUUCUUUGUCAUAUAUCUUGCUAUCUCAUAGUUGCUUAUUUUGCUUACCAUAAGUUGUUGGUGCACAUAGGUGAGCCUAGUUGUUUUAGGUUUUGUGCUUGACAAAUUAACCGCUAGGUUUAUUCCGCAUUUGUUCAAGUCUAAACCGUAAUUAUUUUAAAGCACCUAUUCACCCCCCCCCCCUCUAGGCGACAUCCACAAUCUUUCAGCGAGGCCCAUAGCGAAAAAAAAAUCACCAAAUCGCUCCCAGGCCUCCAAUUCCUGGGAGCUUACUGAAUUAUCAUUGUAAUUUGUAAAAAAUAUUUGUCAAAGAGAAGAACAUAACUGAAUCUGAAUGAGAACAAUCACUGACCUGCAGCAGAUGAGCAUGAUUCUUCAUUGCAGAUGAAUAUUCUGAGGCACGAAAAAUCAAAAUUACAUGAUUUUCUCAUGCAUAUGAACAUCAGCAACAACAAUUUUGUCCUCGUUGCAACCUCCUCACUCUCUUUCCACGAUGGGGCAGGAAAGCACAAGAAAGCAGGAGUGCGGGAAGAGCAGGAGGGAGGCAGGAAGAGGACGUGUGGUGAUAGCGAGAAACACAAAAGACACGCGCGCGGGUCGUCACGUCGAUCAUUGGAACAGGCACCGAGAGAGACUCCCAUCCAUUGACCACACAAGCGGCGGUCCCAGAUCGGCGGCGGUCCCAGAUCGGCGGCGGGAUUCACAACGAGGCCUUACACUGACGGGCGGGGCCCAUAGCAAAAAAAAAAUCACCAGAUCGCUCCCAGGCCUCCAAUUCCUGCGAGCUUAGUAACUUUAGAGAUAUCUGAAAGCCGGUUAGCUAACCAACGACGAUGUAUCAGAAAUUCAGAAUAACUGCAGUGUCCUUGUAUGUACGUGCGCGAUUGAUACUACUACUAUAGACUUUGCUAGGCUAGGCAGGGCGCGGAGCCUGAUGGCCAUUGAUUUGCCGGCACGGUGAACGUACCAUAUCAUGGAUUACACGUACAUGUAUGGAUGAAUUGCGUAUGUCUCCGUCACCUUGGCAGUUGGCACCACUGCAGCAGCGCUGUCUUUUUCUGAAGACGGCAGUGAGCGGUUAGCAUUUGCUUGCUUGCUUGCUUGUGCAGUGUACUCGUAAUUAACCAGGGUCCUCAGCAGGCAGGCAGGCGGGAAGAGUCUUGGCCUAAACCAAGUGUGUCGACUGGACAGACACGAAAAGCCCCGAGCCAUUUGAUACCUCGUGAAAACACGUUGCUCUGCUCGAAUCGUUCGUUCACGAGAAGAGGCGACGAAGGAGAAACUAAACCCCUGAAAAGGCUGUUGCGCCGUUGAUCCCGCCUUCGUGGCAACCAUGCAUACACACACGUGGCGCAUACACACACGCACGGAGCCAAAGCGAGCGACNNNNNNNNNNNNNNNNNNNNNNNNNNNNNNNNNNNNNNNNNNNNNNNNNNNNNNNNNNNNNNNNNNNNNNNNNNNNNNNNNNNNNNNNNNNNNNNNNNNNNNNNNNNNNNNNNNNNNNNNNNNNNNNNNNNNNNNNNNNNNNNNNNNNNNNNNNNNNNNNNNNNNNNNNNNNNNNNNNNNNNNNNNNNNNNNNNNNNNNNNNNNNNNNNNNNNNNNNNNNNNNNNNNNNNNNNNNNNNNNNNNNNNNNNNNNNNNNNNNNNNNNNNNNNNNNNNNNNNNNNNNNNNNNNNNNNNNNNNNNNNNNNNNNNNNNNNNNNNNNNNNNNNNNNNNNNNNNNNNNNNNNNNNNNNNNNNNNNNNNNNNNNNNNNNNNNNNNNNNNNNNNNNNNNNNNNNNNNNNNNNNNNNNNNNNNNNNNNNNNNNNNNNCCAAAGUGCGACCCAAAGCCUGUGCCGUGGCCACGAGAGGGAGCAAAAGAAACUCCGGCAGCAAACCUUUUUUUGAUUUUUGUUUACCUGAACGCCGGCAGAAACCUUAGCCUGGAAGCGAACCCGCCCGCGACCGGGCGACGUUUCUUCGUCAGUCGGUACACGGCAACGAACGGAUUUGUCUGUCUGUCUGUCACCCCUACCGGGCCGUCUUGCAUGCCACACCACAUCGUAGGUACCGAGUACGUUACGUACCGUAAAAAAAAACCAGGUGCUAGUAGACAUUAAGAUCUAGACAUAGUGCUUUUUCUGUAUUUUCUGAUCAUAGCAUGAAGAUGUUCAUGGCGCACUGUCGUCUCUUCACUCUUUUCUUUAUAUAUAUAUAAUGCAGGUACCCCGCCGGCCGGCACCGUUUCGGUUUAUUAUCUGUACUGUGCUCCGGCUGCUCUGCAUCCCACGGAAGGGAAAGGGGCAGUACCAUUUUUUAUUUUUAGAAAAAAAUGGAGUAGUACCGUAGCAGUUAUCUUUCUACAGAGCGGAUUAAUUAGAAGACAGUAGUACGCACUGAAUUAAGAGACUGAUUAGAAGACACUAGUACCCUACGUAGCGUGCGUGCAAGCUUCGCAUGCACCGUGGUGCCGUGCGGCCGUGGACACGGCCACGGAGGACACUACAUCGAGGCGCAGGUGUGAAGCACCGUACGUUCCCCCGCAAGAAGAAAAUGCAGACGAAAUUAAAAAUACAAGAGAAAGAAAAGGGAGGAGGAGUUUUUUUUUAGAAAAGGAGGAUGACCCCUGGCCUCUGCAUCUGGGAUAUGCAUACGGCCACUUUAUUGAUUAUUCUCGAGAACCGUACAAAAUGUUACAAUAAUGUGUCUGAAUCUACCAUCUUGGCAACAUAUGCUGCUACUCCUAUCCAAAAUGAUUAGGAGGUGCUAGCUGGGCCAUUACCCAAACCACUCACCUAAACCUAACAUCAAAAACCGGAAGCCGAAACUCAUUCGGAAGCCCCCAAGAUGCCCCAAGCCCCCAAGGCCCCAACCCAAGUUGGCGCGCGCAGAGAUCCUCCCUUCCCUCCAAAAGCAGGACACGCACGGAACACAACGGGCAAAGGCUGCUGGUGCACUAGAGUAGGAAGCAGUAACCCUCAUCAAAAGCAGUACUGGAUGCCACGCCAUGCCCUGUCCUCCUCCUCCUCAUCCUCUUGCAUGCCACACCCAGCACCACAUCCCUAUAGCUAUCUAGCAGCAGCCACCUCUGCCGGCCAAGCCAAGCAUACUGGAUAGACAUUGAUUGGGAUUUAUAGACACCCUUUCCCUCACACAGUGCGCACAUCAUAUCAAGAAUCAAUCCAGAAGAGACCAUCAUCAGAGGAUAAAGGAGUGACCAAGACAGGCGAGGGAGCUAGGAUCAACAAAGUUUCAUUUGCUCGAUCAUCAAGCCAUGGUAUCUCGGGGGAAGCAGCAGGAGGAGGAGGCGGCCGCCGGGUGGGAGGGGGAGAAGGAGGGGGAGAUCGACUACGUGUUCAAGGUGGUGGUGGUGGGCGACUCGGCGGUGGGGAAGACGCAGCUGCUGGGGCGCUUCGCCAAGGACGAGUUCUUCCUCGACUCCAAGUCCACCAUCGGCGUCGAGUUCCAGACCCGCACCCUCACCCUCCACCGCAAGCAAGUCAAGGCCCAGAUCUGGGACACCGCCGGACAGGAGAGGUACGCCGCCCCGCCCCCAUAACCCCGUCCCGUCUUCCUCCUCCAGCCCGGUCGCCUAGCUCUGCUCUUCUGAUAUGAUAUGCAGUCCAUUUUUCGUCUGCUACCGUUUUGAAUUUCUCGAUCGCAAACAUGCAAUCCUCGUUCCCGGGAUACGAAAUUCUGGGCGGCACGCCUAGUUUCAACUCUCAGCACACGUACGUACAGCUGCCCGAUCACCCUCCGCAACAAUCGUUUGCUGGUGCCAGAACAAGCACCGAAUCUCUGCUGCAUACAUACACUUGCUUAAUUUUUAGCACCGCCUUCUUUCCAAAGCUUAGUUACAAAAAUAUUGGGUGGGUCUGUUGUUCUGCCAAGGACAAACGUGUUUUCUGUAUGUGGCCGCGUCCUCGCAUGGUUAGUGGAGUACAUGCCGCCAAGAACGAUCAGUGUUUUGGACCAGUUGCUUGCUUCCGGAUUAGGGGAUCGGUCGAUCGACGCAUGAUACCGGUCGGCCUCACCCCCCAUCACAUGCAUUUAAUCCGGUGAUCACCAAAUAGAUCAGCGCAGCACGCAAGCUAGGCUAGGGGGCGGGCGAUAAGAUGGAAAUGCUGAGUGGUAGGCAGCUUUCGUCUUUCAGGAAGGGAGAAGGCGAAAGCUACGGCUGCAUUCAAAUGCGACGGCCACGUACAUGUCGAUCCUGCUGCUGCUAGUAAGGACGACGAUUCUUCAGACCACCAGAGCACGCCGACCUCUGAAAGCGAUCUCUUCUCAAAGGAAAAGGAAAAGAAAAUCCUACUGCGCCUUUUCCUCCUUUCUAGGAAUAGACCAUCGGCGUAGUGGGGCGAUCAUACAUACGUGCCCAAUUUGCGCCCGGAUUAUGACCUGUUUUCUACACGUAACGCCCGCGGGAGCUUCAGAGUAGUAGAUGCAUGAUUUUUGUAUACAUGGUUUUUUACAUGUCACUGGAGUUCCUUUUGAGACAUGGGUACAUUUUUUGCACCCGCAAAAAAAAAAAACACAUGGGUACAUUUCGUUCUGUUUUCCAAGAUUUAGCUUUUAAAAUCAUAGUUUCUUGAAAUCUUGAAAAUUGUGAAAAUACUUACGGAGGAAGGUCUAUCAGAUAGGAACAUAUAAACUAACGGAAAUAUUAACGCCCACACGUGUGGGCGUUAGCCAACUCACCCACACGCCUCCAUCACCGUCCAGUAACUUCUGCACGAAUCUUGGUACGAAUUAACUGAUUUUGUAUGUCACGUAGGACAACUCGCGUGUGUGGUGUGUGAGAGAGGUCGCCCACACAUCCGUUUUAUCACACGGAGGAGCUGGUGUGUGGGCGUUUAGCAGUUCGCCCACACACCAGUUUCAGUCACGCACAAGGGCUGGUGUGUGGGCAGUUUGCCAUCUCGCCCACACGCCCGCCUCCUCUCCCACACCCAAGUUGCCAGUCGCCAUGCGUUUUGCAGUGUACAUGGCAACUGCCCUAAUGUGAUUGCAAGCAGAUGGCAACUCUUUUUUUUUACCCGAACAUGUCAGUUGCCAUAUGUUUGGCAUGGUACAUGGCAAACUGCCCUAGCAUACACGUAAGCAGAUGGCAACUCUUUCUUUUUUAAAUGGCAACUGCCCUAGCGUGCUUAUGAGCACAUGGCAACUCUCUCUUUUUACCCGAACGUUUUUUGCCAUGCCUUUUUUUGUAGCGCUACAUGGCAACUGCCUAGUGUUAGUAGAUGGCAACUCCUAAAGUUUUGAAAUCAUGGCAACUGCAGUAGACCAGAUCACACAUGGCAACAGCUGUAGUUGUCCAAAAAAUGGCAAUCUGGAACUUUGACCUGAGAUGGCAACUGCAGUUGAGCAAACAUGGCAACUGUAGUUGUCCGACAUGGCAACCAUAGUUCAGCGACAUGACAAUUGCACUUAAACGAACAUGGACGAGGGUCCGGCCCAUGGCAACUGCGGGGCGCGCGGUAAAGUGUCACGUGGGGCGUGCGGGCCUGACGUACCGGGCGUGUGGGCGUUAUCUAUUUCGUCCACACGUACGCGUGUAAGAGGGAUCGAGAGGGGAAAAAAGGCGUGUGGGCGCUAGUUGUUUUGCCCACACACAGACGUGUGGGCUGGUUCUCUUAGGCACCACACAAAAUGUGUGGGCAGAUUUCUUAACGCCCACACGUGUGGCAGUUAGCGGCGUUCUAAACUAAAAUAAUCUAUGGCAAUUUUUGACCUAUGCGUAAAUCAGAAAUGAGUACCAUACUAAAACCUCCUAACCUAGAGUCCAAGCUAGAAAACUUGUGCUGCAAAAAAAAAACCAUUUUAUGAUUUACACACUAGUAGUGAUUUUUCAUCGGAUGUUUUAAGACUUCAUUUAAAAUCUUAUUUGUGCCUAUGACUAGAGUACCAUUUCUCUACAUAUUAUUCUAUCUAGUGUGAAAUGCAUGAUGUUUUUAUAUGGUUAUUUAUCACACUUUGUAUUACUUUUUCUACUAAUAUUUAAGUAAAGUUUUAGAAAUAUCAGACUACAAAACUGUUUAUUAUCUCUGACAAAUACAAUAUUAUUGAUAUCAAACUAAUCUAAGUAUUACUUUGAUUAAUUAAUCAUCAAAGACAGAAUGUGUUUGUCAAUGUGGCAACCACAUGAAGCUUUCAUUAGCUCAAAGGAAAAAACAUCGCAUUCGUGGAAGAAAAGGACAUCAAAAUGACCAGAUUCGCAUAGACCGAACAUCGGCGAAGUCCGCUUUGAACUUGGUUAAAAAUUCUUUUAGAACCACUAGAGCACGCCGACCUCUGAAAGUGAUCUCUCCUAAAAAGAAAAAGAAAAUUUUACUCCCUCCGUCCCAAUAAUAUAAGAGUGCUUUUUACACUCAAAACACUCUUAUAUUAUGGGAUGGAGGAAGUAUUAUACAACUUUUCCUCCUUUCUAGAAAUAGAUCAUACGUGCCCAAAUUUGCAUAGACUAAGCAUCAGCGAAGCCGCUUUGAAGUUAGUUGAGAGUUCAAAAGUGAACAGUCUCGUGCUUAAUUCUAAAAUUCUGUUAGGACCGCUUGUGUGUUCUGGGGUGGAAACUGAACCGGAAGCGAAGUACACGGUUCAAUAGUCAACAGUGGACUUUUCUUCCAAACCAAAAAAAAAAACACGUAGACUUUUCCAAACAAGCUCUGAUAUGCGUGCGGCCAAGGAAUUUUCUUCACAAAUUCGAGCACGUUGACACGUUGAAAUGUGAAAUGUUUGACAGAUUUUCUUACAGAAAACAGAGUGUGUGUCACUGACAAUUGAGCAUGCGCGUGUGUUGGGAGCAGGUACCGGGCGGUGACGAGCGCCUACUACCGGGGCGCGCUGGGCGCCAUGGUGGUGUACGACGUGACCCGCCGCGCCACCUUCGACCACGUGACCCGCUGGGUGGAGGAGCUCCGCGCCCACGCCGACGGCUCCACCGUCGUGGCGCUCGUCGGCAACAAGGCCGACGCGGCCGCGCACCGCCGCGAGGUGCCGGCCGACGAGGCCGCGCGGUUCGCCGAGGAGCAGGGGCUCUUCUUCUCCGAGGCGUCGGCGCUGACGGGCGACAACGUGGAGCGCGCCUUCCUCGCGCUCCUCGAGGAGGUCUUCGCCGUCGUCUCCCGCCGGGCGCUGGAGCUCGACGAGGCGCGGCGGACGCGCAGCAGCGGCGUCAGCGACGGCGGCGAGGUGCUGUCGCUGAGGGGCACCACGGUGGACCUGCACGACCCCAUCAUGGAGACCAGCGCCAUGAAGAAGACCGCCUCCUCGCAGUGCUCGUGCUCGUGACCGGCGACGUGGUCGGCAACCUCAGCCGGUGGUGCUGUGACAGAGACACGCCGCACCGUGAUGUGCAAGGAUUCACACCAGAUUACGCCAUGCAUUCUCGAACACAUAAGUUUAGACAUGUAAAGCAUUUGUUGUACAUACAUUGUGAUAAGAAAUGGUUGGGUUCAUUUGCCUCUUCAUCUGCGAGACUGUGAGAUUGAUCAGAACUUCUUUUCCUCCCAAAGCUCUUUUUUUUAGGGGACCUCCCAAAGCUCAUUGACAUGGCUCGUUAGGGAUGCAUGGGAUUCACAUGAAUUUCGCCAAAAACAGCAGCUCAAUUCAAACAACAGUGAGGCUAAGUUCAAGUGUUUGACAUCCAAGAUAAAUCUAGCGCACCUUCACACCGGCGAAAAGGUAAGAUGGGAAGGAUAUGAGAUUUUCUCAAAACUAGUGCGGACAAUUUUAUCCGUAACGCGCAUCAUUACAACUCAUCACAAACAAACUGCAGUUGUAUGAACAACAACAAUGUCGUAGCAACUAAUAACUGACAGGUCAUUUCCUGCUCAAUCUUCUUCUCCUUCAGAAGGUAGAUCUUCCUUGAACCAUGUGUAGAGCCCUCCGUCCAGAUGGAACACGUUCUUGUAGCCGUUUAGGACCAGCAGAUACGCCGCUAUCAGAGACCUGCCAGAGUCGAAGCAUAAUCGGCUGAGUUAAACAUCGGUGCUCACAAGUUUACCUAUGAGUGUCCACGCAGAGCAAUGCAUAUAUACUUCUAAAGAAAAAUGCCGUUUUGUUCUUGAAGUUGCAAUUCAAGAACUAGAAAAUGAUCUCAGCGUGGCUUUUCAAACUACAGGAAUGAAAAAGCUGAAUGACAAUUCUCCAGCUGCCAUCAUGAAUUUGCAUCAAUUAUUAUAAAUUUGAAGUUCAUAGCAUUGCAGUUGCAACAAAUUAAUGCUGCUGGUUCUCAAAUGUGAUUUACCAACCUGGGAACUAAAACCACGACACUUAUUUUGGAACGGAUGGAGCAAUAUCUAAAUCUCAGUGGUAAAACACAUAAACGUGGACCGAAAGUGGGCUGCAAUUUAAUUGCACCAGCCGGGUCUUGAGCUCAAGACCUCUUGGCUCAAGAUACCAUGUAGAUGUGCAUGCUCUAGCCAAUGAACCCAAAAGACCGAUCUGAUGGAAGAGACUAGGCAAUACAUUUAUACGUCAACACACGUCAAAAAAUGAGAGCAAUCCAGUAAUGGGAGAACAAGCAUAAACUAUCUACCGGGAUUAACAACCACUUAACAAGUACUAGCCCCCCUCAACUUUGAUGCAUAUGGAUGUGCAGUACGGCAUGGAUCGAAAACUGUGUCUGGUCUUAGCCUGACUGACUACGCUUGACGUAAGCAAAUGCACGAUACUGAAUUUAGUGCAUUUUACACAAAACACUUUGCAGAUUUUUUUAAGAAAGAAUGCUGUUAGCAUCCGUUCCUGGAUAUUUUUUUUCCAAAAAAGACCGGUAGGGGCAGAGCUAUAUUUUUUUUUUGAAAAGGAGGUUCAACCCCCGGGCUCUGCAUCAUAUGAUGUACACAACCAUCUUCAUAAAAAAUAGUUCUCGUUGACAAUCGCAACAGUACACAGAGGAUAAACAAGGCGAAAACACAACUGCCUGAUAACAGGAUUACAUGACUCACACACAUAACCUAUCAUUGGAUCGCCGUCCUAACCGAUUGAACGUAUCUUGUGCGACGGUCUCCCAAGGGAGACGGAGACCGUAGCAGAGAGCAGGGGAAGAGCCUGGUGGCAUUAAUUAAGAAGAGGCUGCGAGAGACUGAAUUCUACCACUGAGAUUUGAACAUGUGUCAGCUUGAAGAUGACACUGCCCUCCCAGGCUCCCACUACUUGGCCAAGAACACAUCCACAAAUAGCAUGGUUUUUAAUACUUGGUUAAUUUUAUUGGUCGAGUAACUGGACCAAUUUACAAAUAUCUGCUUAAUAUAUCACAGAAUCAUCCAUGCUUGUUCACAGGAUAAUAUAUUAGUAAUAGUAUUGAAAAUUCAGUCAUGACCAAUCAACCACCAGUGUUGACAGGAAAAUAGCUAAACAAAACCCAUGGUAGAAAUAAAGAGAAUGUUCAAAUUGCGAAACAAAUUUCCACUAACAGAAAACCCCGACAACAGAGAAUAUCUUUUAAUGCGAAGAUUGGUUAAACCUAGUAACAAAAUAUGCACAGAUCUCAUUUCACGGAAGAUGCAAGAAAUUUAGCUUAAGCCAAAUCACAUUAAUAAACAGUAUCAGCAGUUCAGCACCUUCAUGACAACUGGAAAAGGACCGACAAUCCAUGGAAAUUAAACAAGUUUAGCAGUAAAUAAUACUACUCCCUCUGUUCCAUAUUACUUGUCGUGGUUUUAGAUCUAAAACCACGACGAGUAAUAUGGAACGGAGGGAGUAUAUGGGCAACAUAAUAUACCUAGAUUGCUUCCCAUCAGGUAGAUUCUGUGUUGGCUUCAUUGUUCCUCCUGCUGAACAUGCUACAAUUAUCUUUGAAUCUUUAUUAAGUUUUUCUUCAACGCCUGCACAAAUAUGGCAUAUGCAUCUGAUUGCCGGUACAUGUAUAAAUGGUGAGGACACAGCAAACAGAAGUACAAAAAAUGCUACGUACUUUUUAUAAACUCAGGAUUCUCUUCUGUUCCUGCAAAUAUGCCAAAGAAAGCAAAUGCUGCCCUCCUUGCAAUAUCCCAUGCUGUCCACUCCUUUAUUAAUCUGUAUAUUUGUACAUUAACAGCACCAGGUGGGUGAGCCUGCACAAAAAUAAAUCCAUAACUGUGGUGCAACUUUCCCAGAUUGAAAUAUAAAUUUCAUUGUAUGAAGCGGCACAAUAUGAAAACAAACUUUUGACAUUUUUUUAGGCAUCAUUGGAGACGAUUUGAUCACUGUUAGCCGUUUAGGUACUACUACUACUAAGCAGACUUCUAAAUUUAUGUUUGGCUAUUGCAACAGCAACAUAUAUUAUAUCUCCAGUUAUAUACUCCCUCCAUUCCUAAAUAUAAGUCUUUGUAGAGAUUCCAAUAUGGACUACAUACGGAGCAAAAUGAGUGAAUCUACACUCUAAAAUAUGUCUAUAUACAUCCGUAUGUAGUUUGUAGUGCAAUCUCUAAAAAGACUUAUAUUUAGGAACGAAAGGGAGUAAUUGUGAACUGUAUUCAGCAUAGUGUUGUCGAUUCAAUACAUCAUCAUUGAUACACAAUUUGCUUCAGCUAUCAUUUCGGGUUGAUAAAAGACACAAAAAAGAUAAGUAAGCAACAAUGUAAAAGUAAGUUUCUGCCCUAAACCCAAGAGCUUGAGACAGCAACUAUAAGAUACCUGUUUGAACUCUGCUUCUGGUCUGACAUCGAGAAUUACAAAGUUGUUUUCGUUUUGAAGGCGCAGUGCUUCCUUCACAUCAACACUACGUACCUGCAAAAACAAACAGGAGAAACACCUCUGAUGUAAAUGGCGGCUGCUAAGCAUAGAAUGCUCAUCUUCAAUCAACAGUAAAUCAAGCCAAUACACAUAUGAAUCAACAGGAAUAGGUAGAUAAGUCCUCAUAAAUGUCAAAACAGUGCCUAUUUCACAUAUAAUCUAUAAUUGUUCUACACAUACAUAUGUUACUCUAACUCUCUUCAUAAGACUUAAGGUUAAGAAGUCCGCAGCAACCUUCAUAUACGUUUAAUGCAAAAAUAUUGGUCAGAAUGAUGGUUAUUACCCGCUUCUCUAAUAGGAAUUGCCGUUUGAUCUUCCAUUCCUCUUCAGCUGCAAAAUAAGGGGGGUAAACAUGCCAAGAUAGCAUCAUGCAUAACAGAAUAAGAAACGGUUCCAUAUCAAGUCAAAGGAGGCAAGCAUAUUCACAGUACCUGGAGAUUUCGCAGUCUUAGUGGCAGCACAUGUUACCCGCAGCGAGCGCACACCAUGCGCUCGGUAAUGUUUUGCAGCUUCUAAUGGGCGCCACAAAUGACCAGAUGAGAAGUCUGAGCAGGAGGAUAUCCUUGACGAGCAAGGAAGGUUGGCUUUCACUAUGGAGCUAGCUGCGAUCAUCGUGGUCAUGAGAUAAAGAGCAGCAAAAACUUGGGGAAGAAUCGGAAGGGAGCUUAGCUAAUCCUAAGGCUGCAACUGUUGCUGGAAGGAGAUAUUUUGGGAUGUGCAAGUGUCCAAAGGACCUAAAUGGUUCUGGAUGGGAUGUCCCAGCAUAUCUGAACUAGUGGUUGAGGUUGAGCAAGUGUUGAGAUGGACAAUCUGGAGUCUGGCUAUGGGCUUGCCCUGACCCCACAAAACAAAUUCACCAUCAAUCUUUUAUUGGAAAAACUUACCACUGCUUUUCUCUUGUCAUGAAGUAAUUUCUGGUGUUUGGCUCAUACAAAUUUCUAGCUUUCCACAAAUAAAAUGGAACAGAAGGACACAGCAGCAUUUCACUACAAUCCAACUCUUUAUUAGGUACUCACCAAUUACCACCUACAAAUGGGAACAGUAAGGUGCCCAAACAGAUUUGCUCCCUAAAACCCAAAUCAUCGACUAAACAAGAGUACACCAAAGUCCAGAAAAUGGAUACCCUAAAAGUUUCAGUUCAGAACACAAACAAACGAAAUCAUCACCAGUUCCCCAGUGAGCUAAGCUCAGUGCUCA
RNAcentral lists this long non-coding RNA (43980 nucleotides) under Triticum aestivum (bread wheat). Its description in RNAcentral is "long non-coding RNA (TAES_LNC007632)". Lineage: Eukaryota; Viridiplantae; Streptophyta; Magnoliopsida; Poales; Poaceae. The record is from RNAcentral.